CAGGAGGGUAAUUAGGUUUAUUUAUUUGUUUCAUUUUUUAAAAUGAGGUACUGGUGUUUGAACCCAGGACAUCGUACAUGCUAAGCACGUGCUCUACCACUGAACUGUACCCUCCUCCCCAAGGCAAGUUUUCUUAUCCAUUAUUCUGAAGCUUAGGAGUUCAAAUAAAUUGGAUAGAAAACCAGAUCUUUUGAUCCCACUGUAGUACUUUUCUUUAUAUUCUGCUGAAGGAGGUUGGGGAAAGCACUUCCUUUGUUCAUUUCCUUAUUCAGCAUUUUUCAGCAGUGACUUUGCAUCAGGGCCUUGGUAGGUGCUUGGAAACAGAAAACAAGAAAUGACCCUUCUCUGCAGGGCAGGAAGCCUAGACCAAAAGCUGGGUAAUGUGAUCCGAGCUACGGUAGCCAUUUGAAGACUCUGAGGACAAACUGUACCCCCGGAUUUACUUGAGCUUCCCUUGCCUUCUGGUUGGUACACACCAGGUCACCGCAACCCAGAUGGGCCUGCAGCCCACAGUACAGUAUGUACCUCGAUCUCCUCUCCCCUCUCGUCAGGGCCUGCAACAUGAGCAUCCCUGACUACGUGCAGUGUGCUGAGGACCACCAGACUUUCCCCGUGGUGGUCGAACACGUGGGGAUCAUCUCAGAGGAGAAUUUCUUUUGCAUCUAUAAGUGAAUCACCUUGGUGAGUCAGAUCAGUCCGUGCAGCUCCCAGUGGGCAAACUGUAUCCACUACAGGCACCACUAUGCGCCCAAGAAUGGGUGGAGCGACUUCCAGACCCACCGCAAGGUCUUGGGCCUUGUCAUCAUUACUGACUGCCUCUCGGCCAAGGCUUCGAAAAGCUCCACGUGCAGAGGAGCUGUAUGGCACCACGCUCUAUGACUCUCAGCUCUUUGACUUUCUGCUGCAUGGGGAGGUGGCCGAGCAGCCGCGCACCGAAGUGGCCUUCAAUUUACGAGGACUGCAGGGUGGUGGAGAAGAGGAUCGACGACUUCACUGAGUCACUCUUCAUCUUACCCAAGUCCAAGUGGCUGGACGGUGCAUCCGACAAUUCUGGGGACAAGAUCCUCCUUCUCUGCAUCCCAUUUUAGAAGGAGGACAUCAUGGGACUGGACACAGAAAGCAGUACGUUUUGGUUACUGAGUCCCUCGAAUUCCCAUAUGAAUAAUAGCAGCAGCUAGUCAGUUACUGCAGAGGAGCCCACUGGGAUUGUGAUCGAGACCACGUUGAGUAUACAGAUCGCUCUGGGGAGCACUGCCAUCCCAAGAGCGUUGUCAUCUGAUCCAGGAAUGUGCGUGGUGUGUCUGUCCAGGUGCCCUCACCUCCAGUGGCAUCCAUCCAGACACCAGCACUGACACUGGCCGUGCUCAGAACUGCCUCAGCCCUGAAGACACAACUGACAAAUAGAAGGGGGCUACGCCCUAUGACAGCAGAUGCUCUCACUUUGUGGGUCCUUAUGUAACUGCGCGGUGUUAUUCAGGAUCGCCCGUUCUACACUGUGUGACGCUGCUGCCGUGUCUCCUAGUUAUUUCUGAAAGGCAAGGCUCCCUCACAGCUGCGACGGAGAAGGAAUCCCCGGAGUCAGCCUCCGGGCAGCUUCCGAACCGCAUCUGCUUGCACUUGGCACAGGACACCAUAAGCAAGUGUAACUCUGACAAGAAGAUUUCCCCGGGGACCUGGGAGGUGCUCAUUGUGAAGCCACUUGUUUCCCAGUUAGGAUGAAAUUCUUGAAGACGACUCCCUGACCUGAAGGGAUGGAUGGAGGAGGAAAGAAAAGAAGACAAGCAUCUUUGGCCCAUAAAAAAUGAGAGGUAACCAGAUGGUGGCUAGUUUUCAUUGCACCUCUCUGCCAGCCUCAAUUUCACAUGCCCCUCCCAACUCAGCUCAUCGGAACUCCACUGAAGGAGACGGCUUUGCAAAUUUAUUGGUAGCCAAAGAAAUCGCUUGAGAAAUAGUCUCCCAAACCCAGCGAGAACACUGAAAGCUGACAAGUGCCAGAAUCAGAAUACUAAAACACACAGAUUCAAGCUCCGACACCCUCCCUGGUGGGUGUACUUACAGUGGGGGUGUGGCCGUGCAAUUUGUCAGCAUCCAACAUAUAAAAAUGAAAGGGACACCAGUUUUCAACAUCACAGUCCCUCUGAAACAACUGGUAGUCAAUUA
Molecule: long non-coding RNA, 2160 nt
Organism: Camelus dromedarius (Arabian camel)
Lineage: Eukaryota; Metazoa; Chordata; Mammalia; Artiodactyla; Camelidae
Exons: 5
Source: RefSeq, a predicted model, not a curated record